UGGGGAAUAUUGCGCAAUGGGCGAAAGCCUGACGCAGCGACGCCGCGUGCGGGAUGAAGGCCUUCGGGUUGUAAACCGCUUUCAGCAGGGACGAAUUCAGACGGUACCUGCAGAAGAAGCGCCGGCUAACUACGUGCCAGCAGCCGCGGUAAUACGUAGGGCGCAAGCGUUGUCCGGAAUUAUUGGGCGUAAAGAGCUCGUAGGCGGCCUGUUGCGUCCGCUGUGAAAUCCCGGGGCUCAACCCCGGGCCUGCAGUGGAUACGGGCUGGCUGGAGGCAGGCAGGGGAGAACGGAAUUCCUGGUGUAGCGGUGAAAUGCGCAGAUAUCAGGAGGAACACCGGUGGCGAAGGCGGUUCUCUGGGCCUGUUCUGACGCUGAGGAGCGAAAGCGUGGGGAGCAAACA
This 403-nucleotide ribosomal RNA is filed under the name uncultured Acidothermus sp. RNAcentral describes it as "bacterial SSU rRNA". It matches the Rfam family "Bacterial small subunit ribosomal RNA", at positions 355 to 774 of the family's 1533-position model. Lineage: Bacteria; Bacillati; Actinomycetota; Actinomycetes; Acidothermales; Acidothermaceae. The record is from RNAcentral.